This 432-nucleotide ribosomal RNA is filed under the name Hydroporus neglectus. RNAcentral describes it as "partial 16S ribosomal RNA". Lineage: Eukaryota; Metazoa; Arthropoda; Insecta; Coleoptera; Dytiscidae. The record is from RNAcentral.
GUCCUUUUGUUUUAUAAUUUAAGGUCUAACCUGCCCAUUGAUAAGUUAAAAGGCCGCAGUAAUUUGACUGUGCAAAGGUAGCAUAAUCAUUAGUUUUUUAAUUAAAAGCUUGUAUGAAUGGUUGGACGAGAUAAAAUCUGUCUCUUAAUAAAAAAUAGAAUUUAAUUUUUAAGUUAAAAAGCUUAAAUAUAAAUAAAAGACGAGAAGACCCUAUAGAUCUUUAUAUAAUUUUUUUUAGUAUUAAUAAAGAAAAUUUUAUUUAUUAAAAUUAAUUUUAUUUUAUUGGGGUAAUAAAAAGAUUUAAAAAAUUCUUUAAUAAUAAACAAUAAUUAUUGAUUAUAUGAUCCAUUAUUAAUGAUUAAAAGAUUAAGUUACCUUAGGGAUAACAGCGUAAUUUUUUUAGAGAGUUCUUAUCAAUAAAAAAGUUUGCGA